This 63-nucleotide transfer RNA is filed under the name Nepiomorpha sp. NespEL. RNAcentral's name for it is "tRNA-Leu". The record is from RNAcentral. Lineage: Eukaryota; Metazoa; Arthropoda; Insecta; Psocodea; Elipsocidae.
UCUAAUAUGGCAGAUUAGUGCAUUGAAUUUAAGCUUCAAAAAUAAAUUUUAAUUUUGUUAGAA